AACGAACGCUGGCGGCAGGCUUAACACAUGCAAGUCGAGCGCCCCGCAAGGGGAGCGGCAGACGGGUGAGUAACGCGUGGGAACGUACCUUUUGGUUCGGAACAACUCCGGGAAACUGGAGCUAAUACCGGAUAAGCCCUAACGGGGAAAGAUUUAUCGCCGAAAGAUCGGCCCGCGUCUGAUUAGCUAGUUGGUGAGGUAACGGCUCACCAAGGCGACGAUCAGUAGCUAGUCUGAGAGGAUGAUCAGCCACACUGGGACUGAGACACGGCCCAGACUCCUACGGGAGGCAGCAGUGGGGAAUAUUGGACAAUGGGCGCAGGCCUGAUCCAGCCAUGCCGCGUGAGUGAUGAAGGCCUUAGGGUUGUAAAGCUCUUUUGUCCGGGAAGAUAAUGACUGUACCGGAAGAAUAAGCCCCGGCUAACUUCGUG
Molecule: ribosomal RNA, 431 nt
Filed under: uncultured bacterium
Lineage: Bacteria
Description: partial 16S ribosomal RNA
Rfam family: Bacterial small subunit ribosomal RNA
Source: RNAcentral